This 252-nucleotide ribosomal RNA is filed under the name uncultured bacterium. RNAcentral describes it as "partial 16S ribosomal RNA". It matches the Rfam family "Bacterial small subunit ribosomal RNA", at positions 78 to 334 of the family's 1533-position model. The record is from RNAcentral.
CUUUUGUCUGGCGGCCGGCGCACGGGUGAGUAACACGUAUCCAACCUGCCCUUUACUCGGGGAUAGCCUUUCGAAAGAAAGAUUAAUACCCGAUAGCAUAAUGAUUCCGCAUGGUUUCAUUAUUAAAGGAUUCCGGUAAAGGAUGGGGAUGCGUUCCAUUAGGUUGUUGGUGAGGUAACGGCUCACCAAGCCUUCGAUGGAUAGGGGUUCUGAGAGGAAGGUCCCCCACAUUGGAACUGAGACACGGUCCAA